This is a long non-coding RNA of Beta vulgaris subsp. vulgaris (sugar beet), 400 nucleotides long. RefSeq lists it as uncharacterized. The record is from RefSeq and is a predicted model, not a curated record. The transcript has 3 exons. Lineage: Eukaryota; Viridiplantae; Streptophyta; Magnoliopsida; Caryophyllales; Amaranthaceae.
CUAGCUAUGCUAGCACCGCACCUCGCUUCUCUCUCCCAACUCCCUCAUCAGUCACAACCAUCCUCCGCACGCUGCAGCGUGCCUCCGUGCCACGCCGGAGCAUCGUGGGCCACCAUCCCUGCUCGGAGUUUGCCGUCGUUCAGCGGAGGUCCUCGUUCCUCCACUUCUUGUCGAGUCUGUCGACCUGCUCACUGAGCAGAUUAAAGAAGAUAGAGGAUAUUACAAGCCUCCCCCGGCUAUCAAGGUUGGUAAGCAGGAAUUCAGGUAUGGGAGAAAAGUUGUGGAUCACUAUUAUACUGCGUUAUGGAGAUUAUGUAUGAUUCUAUAAGGUUUUAGAAUAUUUGUAUGAUGGAUAAACAAGUAUUAUUUUACGAUGAGUAAUCGUAUAGUUGAAUUUCAA